Molecule: ribosomal RNA, 253 nt
Filed under: uncultured bacterium
Lineage: Bacteria
Description: partial 16S ribosomal RNA
Rfam family: Bacterial small subunit ribosomal RNA
Source: RNAcentral
UACGAAGGGGGCUAGCGUUGCUCGGAAUCACUGGGCGUAAAGGGUGCGUAGGCGGGUCUUUAAGUCAGGGGGGAAAUCCUGGAGCUCAACUCCAGAACUGCCUUUGAUACUGAAGAUCUUGAGUUCGGGAGAGGUGAGUGGAACUGCGAGUGUAGAGGUGAAAUUCGUAGAUAUUCGGAAGAACACCAGUGGCGAAGGCGGCUCACUGGCCCGGUACUGACGCUGAGGUGCGAAAGCGUGGGGAGCAAACAGG